RNAcentral lists this long non-coding RNA (626 nucleotides) under Felis catus (domestic cat). RNAcentral's name for it is "lncRNA (ENSFCAG00000047700.1)". Lineage: Eukaryota; Metazoa; Chordata; Mammalia; Carnivora; Felidae. The record is from RNAcentral.
AAGCUAAUUUGAGAAUGCAAAUGUGCAUUUAAUUAAUAUGUUACUUGUGACCCUAUAUGACUCACAGGCAGCAUAGAGGCUGUGGUGAGCUGUGCGCUGUGGAAGGCACGAAGGCUGGGUGACGGGAAGCGGUGUGGCCCCUGUGGGCACGGAGGUCCAGAGCCUCUGGGCGCUGAGAAGCUCCUAGAAGCAAACAGACCCAGUAAUCAAUCCCAGCUGCCGUGCGAGGUCCUGCCUCUUUUGUCACAUGUGAUGCCAACAGCAGGGAAGAAGUUUUUCAAGUGCAAAGGUGAUGAAUGUGUGAGAUUUUCCAACCCACGGGAGUUACCAGAAUGGAUUCCCUUCAGAGAAGCCUCUGUUGUUGGAACUUCUGCAGACAGGCAGCUCUGAGCUAAUAUACGGGGAUGCUCCUCCCGUGCUGGGUUCUGCCGGGGGUGGGGAGUCGGAGCAAGUGAGACAUAUUUCUACCGCUUCAAGCCUGCACGGUGCCUACAACAACGUUGCCGUUGUGGUGACGACUUAACCCUACUCGAGCGCUGAGAACCCUGGGAUCCGGGCAAGUUGGCAAAGCAGACGCAGGAGGACCUCCUGCUCCCUGCUUCAGGCUCCUGGUUUCCUGCACUUCG